AACGAACGCUGGCGGCAGGCCUAACACAUGCAAGUCGAGCGAGGACUUCGGUCCUAGCGGCGGACGGGUGAGUAACGCGUGGGAACGUGCCCUUUGCUUCGGAAUAGCCCUGGGAAACUGGGAGUAAUACCGGAUGAGCCCUUUUGGGGAAAGAUUUAUCGUCGAAGGAUCGGCCCGCGUUGGAUUAGGUAGUUGGUGGGGUAAUGGCCUACCAAGCCGACGAUCCAUAGCUGGGUUGAGAGGAUGAUCAGCCACACUGGGACUGAGACGCGGCCCAGACUCCUGCGGGAAGCGGCAGUGGGGGAUCUUGGACAAUGGGGGAAGCCCUGAUGUAGCCAGGCCGCGUGAGCGAUGAAGGCCUUAGGGAAGUAAAGCUCUUUCAGCUGGGAAGAUAAUGACGGUACCAGCAGAAGAAGCCCCGGCUAACUCCGUG
This 433-nucleotide ribosomal RNA is filed under the name uncultured bacterium. RNAcentral's name for it is "partial 16S ribosomal RNA". It matches the Rfam family "Bacterial small subunit ribosomal RNA", at positions 29 to 507 of the family's 1533-position model. The record is from RNAcentral.